RNAcentral lists this ribosomal RNA (377 nucleotides) under uncultured bacterium. RNAcentral's name for it is "bacterial SSU rRNA". It matches the Rfam family "Bacterial small subunit ribosomal RNA", at positions 99 to 507 of the family's 1533-position model. The record is from RNAcentral.
CGGACGGUGAGUAACACGUUGGAACCUGCCCCAAAGUGAGGAAUAAGCCACCGAAAGGUGGUCUAAUACUUCAUAAUAUCCAUCUCGUAUGGAUUAAAGCUUUAUGCGCUUUGGGAGGGGCCUGCGUAACAUUAGCUUGUUGGUGAGGUAAAAGCUCACCAAGGCUUCGAUGUUUAACUGGUUUGAGAGGAUGACCAGUCACACUGGACUGAGAUACGGCCAGACUCCUACGGGAGGCAGCAGUAAGGAAUCUUCCACAAUGGGGCAACCCUGAUGGAGCAAUACCGCGUGCAGGAUGAAGCGUUUCGGCGUGUAAACUGCUUUUAUCACCGAAGAUUAUGACUGUAGGUGAAGAAUAAGGACCGGCUAACUACGUG